Molecule: ribosomal RNA, 497 nt
Filed under: uncultured bacterium
Lineage: Bacteria
Description: partial 16S ribosomal RNA
Rfam family: Bacterial small subunit ribosomal RNA
Source: RNAcentral
GAUGAACGCUGGCGGCGUGCCUAAUACAUGCAAGUCGAGCGAACAGAUGAGGAGCUUGCUCCUCUGACGUUAGCGGCGGACGGGUGAGUAACACGUGGACAACCUACCUAUAAGACUGGGAUAACUUCGGGAAACAGGAGCUAAUACCGGAUAAUAUAUCGAACUGCAUGGUUCAAUAGUGAAAGUCGGUUUUGCUGUCACUUAUAGAUGGAUCCGCGCCGCAUUAGCUAGUUGGUAAGGUAACGGCUUACCAAGGCAACGAUGCGUAGCCGACCUGAGAGGGUGGUCGGCCACACUGGAACUGAGACACGGUCCAGACUCCUACGGGAGGCAGCAGUAGGGAAUCUUCCGCAAAGGGCGAGAGCCUGACGGAGCAACGCCGCGUGAGUGAUGAAGGUCUUCGGAUCGUAAAACUCUGUUAUUAGGGAAGAACAAAUGUGUAAGUAACUAUGCACGUCUUGACGGUACCUAAACAGAAAGCCACGGCUAACUACGUG